This is a long non-coding RNA of Solanum stenotomum, 405 nucleotides long. RefSeq lists it as uncharacterized. The record is from RefSeq and is a predicted model, not a curated record. The transcript is spliced from 3 exons. NCBI's taxonomy places the organism in Eukaryota, Viridiplantae, Streptophyta, Magnoliopsida, Solanales, Solanaceae.
AAGCACUAUAACAAAAGGAGGCAACACCAUCGUUAACUUGAUCAUGCUUGGUAAUGUCAUUGUGUGACAUAAUAUUAUCAAGUCACCGCCACGACAUUCAUUUUUGUCCUUUGUUCUGUUAGGAUGAAGGUUUUGAAGAUGCAAAGCAGGUUAUAGCAGCUUUAAAAGAUAAAGGCAUAUCUGCAAUUGGAGCAGCAGGGUUUUGCUGGGGUGCAAAGGUGGUUGUUCAGCUAGCUAUGUCUGAGAAUAUUCAAGCUGCAGUGCCUAUUGCACCUGUCGUUUGUCUCUGUGGAUGAUUUUAAGGAGGUGGAGGCACCAAUAGCUAUUUUAGGAGCUGAGAUAGAUCACCUAUCUCCUCCUGAGCUUGUUAAGCAGUUUGAGGAGAUUUUAUCAUCAAAACCUGAG